RNAcentral lists this non-coding RNA (108 nucleotides) under Aurantimonas sp. Leaf443. Its description in RNAcentral is "SAM-I/IV (S-adenosyl methionine) riboswitch aptamer". It matches the Rfam family "SAM-I/IV (S-adenosyl methionine) riboswitch aptamer". Rfam says of the family: It is found upstream of a number of genes which code for proteins involved in methionine or cysteine biosynthesis. It has been found mostly in the order Actinomycetales. The record is from Rfam by way of RNAcentral. Lineage: Bacteria; Pseudomonadati; Pseudomonadota; Alphaproteobacteria; Hyphomicrobiales; Aurantimonadaceae. RNAcentral also lists the same sequence under 1 other name.
GGGCGACAUCAGGAGUUGGGCCGCGGCCCGACGCCAACCUGCCUUUCCGGGCAAGGUGGCGCUCCCGCAAGGGAGGAUGUGGCCGUUCCGGCAACCAAGCGGAUCAUG